GGGCGCAGCAGGCGCGAAACCUUUACACUGCACGCCAGUGCGAUAAGGGGAUCCCAAGUGCGUAGGCAUAGAGCGUACGCUUUUGUCCACCCUAGGGUGGUGGACGAAUAAGGGCUGGGCAAGACCGGUGCCAGCCGCCGCGGUAAUACCGGCAGCCCAAGUGAUGGCCGAUCUUAUUGGGCCUAAAGCGUCCGUAGCUGGCCGCACAAGUCCAUCGGGAAAUCCACCUGCUCAACAGGUGGCCGUCCGGUGGAAACUGUGUGGCUUGGGACCGGAAGGCGCGACGGGUACGUCCGGGGUAGGAGUGAAAUCCUGUAAUCCUGGACGGACCGCCGAUGGCGAAAGCACGUCGCGAAAACGGAUCCGACAGUGAGGGACGAAAGCUAGGGUCUCGAACCGGAUUAGAUACCCGGGUAGUCCUAGCCGUAAACACUGCCUGCUAGGUGUGGCUCCCACUACGAGUGGG
Molecule: ribosomal RNA, 466 nt
Filed under: uncultured Halorubrum sp.
Lineage: Archaea; Methanobacteriati; Methanobacteriota; Halobacteria; Halobacteriales; Haloferacaceae
Description: bacterial SSU rRNA
Rfam family: Archaeal small subunit ribosomal RNA
Source: RNAcentral